RNAcentral lists this ribosomal RNA (254 nucleotides) under uncultured bacterium. RNAcentral describes it as "partial 16S ribosomal RNA". It matches the Rfam family "Bacterial small subunit ribosomal RNA", at positions 524 to 776 of the family's 1533-position model. The record is from RNAcentral.
UACGUAGGGAGCAAGCGUUGUCCGGAUUUAUUGGGCGUAAAGAGCUCGUAGGCGGUUCGGUAAGUCGGGUGUGAAAACUCUGGGCUCAACCCGGAGAGGCCACUCGAUACUGCCGUGACUUGAGUCUGGUAGGGGAGCACGGAAUUCCUGGUGUAGCGGUGAAAUGCACAGAUAUCAGGAGGAACACCGGUGGCGAAGGCGGUGCUCUGGGCCAGUACUGACGCUGAGGAGCGAAAGCGUGGGGAGCGAACAGG